Molecule: ribosomal RNA, 465 nt
Filed under: uncultured bacterium
Lineage: Bacteria
Description: partial 16S ribosomal RNA
Rfam family: Bacterial small subunit ribosomal RNA
Source: RNAcentral
CUACGGGCCGCUGCAGUGAGGAAUUUUGCGCAAUGGGGGAAACCCUGACGCAGCAACGCCGCGUGAGCGAAGAAGGCCCUCGGGUCGUAAAGCUCUGUCAAGUGGGAAAAAAAUCUUUUGAUCAAUAGUCAAAAGCCUUUAUGGUACCACUGGAGGAAGCACCGGCGAACUCCGUGCCAGCAGCCGCGGUAAUACGGAGGGUGCAAGCGUUGUUCGGAUUUACUGGGCGUGAAAGAGCGUGUAGGCGGUUUAGCAAGUCAGAUGUGAAAGCCCUGGGCUCAACCCGGGAAGUGCAUUUGAAACUGCUUCACUAGAGUAUGGGAGAGGAGAUUGGAAUUCCUGGUGUAGAGGUGAAAUUCGUAGAUAUCAGGAGGAACACCCGUGGCGAAGGCGAUUCUCUGGACCAAUACUGACGCUGAGACGCGAAAGCGUGGGGAGCAAACAGGAUUAGAUACCCGCGUAGUC